Molecule: long non-coding RNA, 722 nt
Organism: Notolabrus celidotus (New Zealand spotty)
Lineage: Eukaryota; Metazoa; Chordata; Actinopteri; Labriformes; Labridae
Exons: 2
Source: RefSeq, a predicted model, not a curated record
UUGGAUCUUGGUCGUUUGUCUGAGGGGCUUUAAAGGUUUGUGAGCUGGGCGGUAACACAAAUUGCCUCUGAGGACAUUCAAGGUAGUUUGUAUCACAUGAUGGCCCCAACAGUUUAGGCAUGGUUGAGACUUAUGAGCAUGUUGUGACAUAUACCAAAGACAUUUUAAUUAACCCGGGAUUAGUACGUUUUAACAGUCAUAGAUUCAGCUCUAUGCCAAGCCUUUGGUCUUUUUAAGCCUUAAGAUCACACAGAUGCUGAGAGCCAAUCUGCAGCCUGGAGCACAUAUCCAGAAAAUGAGGCACGGCUUGGAUGUCCAACAAGAUGUAAACGGGCACAGAGCGACGCCAGGCUGCAUCCAUCAGGUCCUGCAGGAUGUGGACGUCUGUGAGGAUGUCCAUCACUAUCGCUAUCACCUGAAAGAGAGAAAGAGAGAGAGGGGAAGUUUAACGGUUUAGGUUUUUAAGAGACAGAUUUUUGCUUAAUGCAAGGAGCUCCAUUUUAUUCCAACAACACCUUUGGCACAGGUACAAGAGGAAGACGAGAGAAAGCCAGCUUGGUGAGGACAACAAUAAUGAUUUUAUUGGACAGAAGCCAAAACAAAACAAUUUAAUCUUCAAUGAUUUAUGACUCAGUGACUCACUCAACCUCUGAUGCAACUCAAAUCUUAACUGAUCACAUGUGCACAUGUCUGUUUAGAGUUGAUUAAAAAGCUACAUUGUU